This is a long non-coding RNA of Heterocephalus glaber (naked mole-rat), 312 nucleotides long. The record is from Ensembl. NCBI's taxonomy places the organism in Eukaryota, Metazoa, Chordata, Mammalia, Rodentia, Bathyergidae.
GAGAUGGAGGAGCGUGGAACAACCACCACAGCCCAGUACAGCCAAGUCCCUGGCGGCACUGCCAGGGCCCACCUGGCUGGCCUCGAGGGCAGAAGGGCGCGUUCCUUCCAGGAGCCAGGAGGUGACUAAGGAAGUCCCGGUGAGGAUGAGCAGGGAUCGAACUCAGGACCUUCUACUUGCCAGGCAGGCGCAGUGACACUGAGCUACAUCCCCAGGCCAAUUCUUCCAUUUUUAGAGGACAAGAACCCGGUGUAUCGUACCGCUAACAGGAACAAGUGAACACGGGAGAGAAAGGACAGAUGAACAAGACAA